AUCCAGACUCCUACGGGAGGCAGCAGUGGGGGAUAUUGCACAAUGGGGGAACCCUGAUGCAGCGACGCCGCGUGGGUGAAGGAGCACCUCGGUGCGUAAAGCCCUAUCGGCAGGGAAGAAACAGACGGUACCUGACUAAGAAGCCCCGGCUAACUACGUGCCAGCAGCCGCGGUAAUACGUAGGGGGCAAGCGUUAUCCGGAUUCACUGGGUGUAAAGGGAGCGUAGACGGCGACGCAAGUCUGGAGUGAAAGCCCGGGGCCCAACCCCGGGACUGCCCUUGGAACUGCAUGGCUGGAGUGCGGGAGGGGCAGGCGGAAUUCCUGGUGUAGCGGUGAAAUGCGUAGAUAUCAGGAGGAACACCGGCGGCGAAGGCGGCCUGCUGGACCGCGACUGACGUUGAGGCUCGAAAGCGUGGGGAGCGAACAGGAUUAGAUACCCGAGUA
RNAcentral lists this ribosomal RNA (445 nucleotides) under uncultured bacterium. RNAcentral describes it as "partial 16S ribosomal RNA". It matches the Rfam family "Bacterial small subunit ribosomal RNA", at positions 329 to 792 of the family's 1533-position model. The record is from RNAcentral.